Molecule: small nucleolar RNA, 72 nt
Organism: Ananas comosus (pineapple)
Lineage: Eukaryota; Viridiplantae; Streptophyta; Magnoliopsida; Poales; Bromeliaceae
Rfam family: Small nucleolar RNA R160
About the family: snoR160 is a C/D box small nucleolar RNA, which acts as a methylation guide for 25S ribosomal RNA in plants. snoR160 has been alternatively named snoZ270 in rice.
Source: Rfam
AGCAAAAUGAUGAGCCAUCAUGACCUGAAACUAAUGUGGAUACUCCAUGGUCUUCAAAGUUCUCUGAUUGCU